Molecule: ribosomal RNA, 97 nt
Filed under: uncultured bacterium
Lineage: Bacteria
Description: partial 16S ribosomal RNA
Source: RNAcentral
CGCCGCGUGUGGGACGAAGCCCCUCGGGGUGUUAAACCACUGUCAGGGGUAAGGAAGUUCUGAUCUGCCCCAGAGGAAGGCACGGCUAACUCUGUGC